UACGGGGGGGGCAAGCGUUGUUCGGAAUUACUGGGCGUAAAGGGCUCGUAGGCGGCCAACUAAGUCAGACGUGAAAUCCCUCGGCUUAACCGGGGAACUGCGUCUGAUACUGGAUGGCUUGAGUUUGGGAGAGGGAUGCGGAAUUCCAGGUGUAGCGGUGAAAUGCGUAGAUAUCUGGAGGAACACCGGUGGCGAAGGCGGCGUCCUGGACCAACACUGACGCUGAGUGAGCGAAAGCCAGGGGAGCAAACGGG
This 254-nucleotide ribosomal RNA is filed under the name uncultured bacterium. RNAcentral describes it as "partial 16S ribosomal RNA". It matches the Rfam family "Bacterial small subunit ribosomal RNA", at positions 524 to 776 of the family's 1533-position model. The record is from RNAcentral.